UACGUAGGGUGCAAGCGUUGUCCGGAAUUAUUGGGCGUAAAGAGCUCGUAGGCGGUCUGUCGCGUCGGAUGUGAAAAUCCAGGGCUCAACCCUGGACCUGCAUUCGAUACGGGCAGACUAGAGUUCGGCAGGGGAGACUGGAAUUCCUGGUGUAGCGGUGAAAUGCGCAGAUAUCAGGAGGAACACCGGUGGCGAGGGCGGGUCUCUGGGCCGAUACUGACGCUGAGACGCGAAAGCGUGGGGAGCGAACAGG
RNAcentral lists this ribosomal RNA (253 nucleotides) under uncultured bacterium. Its description in RNAcentral is "partial 16S ribosomal RNA". It matches the Rfam family "Bacterial small subunit ribosomal RNA", at positions 524 to 776 of the family's 1533-position model. The record is from RNAcentral.